GCCAGCCUCUGUGCCUCUCCCCGUGCCCCAGGGUGGUGUUUCAGGAAGAUUUCUAGCAGGGUGAAGGUCAGUAAGUGGUGCUGGGUUUCUACAAAGAACAGUUUCUCCCACUGCCCCCCUUCUCCGGGCUUCCUCCCUGCUCUCCUUAAACCAACCUUUGCUCAGGACCUCUCCCGAGUGCUUCCCCCUGGCAGCCAUUCCCCUGAAGCCCUCAUUUCCUCCUGCCUCUGCCCUUUUCCAGGCAGAAGCAGUCUGCGUGUGAGCAGCCCUGCUGGAGUUAGCCACCAGAGGAGACAGCUUGUUCAUCGCUUCAGGGGCAGCACAGGCAGCGGGCAGAGGGGAGCCCCCAGAGAUGGACCCAGCCCCACCUCAGCCCCCCAGAGGACCCUGCCAAAGCCACCCCCCCGCUGCGGCCUAGUGCUCUGCUGCAGUCCCAGUGUCCUGCUGCUCACCUGGCAGUUGACAUUAGUUGCAGUGCCCACGGACAACAAAAAACAAAUUCUCCAGGCAAGCCAACAGGAAGGAAGAGUAAUAAAAUCAGGGCAUGCUGCUGUCUUCCACCUAAGUUCUAAGAAACUGAGUAGUAAGAGCCAAGAGUUUUUUAAAAAUUAUACUAUUCCUUAUUUCUCAAUGAGGAAAGAGUAUGACUUGGCAAACUGUCCCUGCCUCUAACCCUGUGAAGUGCUUCAGCUUUUGUUAUUACUGCAAACCUCAUCCUUGAAAGAGACCUAAGUAAGUUUAGACAGCCCAUUAACUGCCCAUUAUUGGUGUAUGCACUCCAUCAAGAUUAGCAUUGCAAAUGACUAGCAAGGGGAUAAACUCAUCUUGAACACAAUUUGCUGCAAACUGUUGUUCUGGAUUCUGCAGUCCUGUGGAAGGCCAGGGGUAAAGGAGGGAGCUGCAGGCACAGACCGUGCAUAUCAGCAUCAGUCCCAGAAAUACAGUCAUGGGCUAGGAUGUUAUAAACUGAAUCCAGCAGACAUCAAGGGGUUCAAUCCCCCUUCUUAUGGCUAUCUGACAUGUCAUCAUGCAGAGUAAGAUCCAGUUCCAGAUCAGAGUGUCUGUGUCUAGAUGUCCACCUGUAGGCUUCUUCUGGCACCUAUCUUACCUCUGUAGGGUCAGCUUCUCAGGGAGGACUCCGUUCUGAAAAUGUGUCUGGGAGCCUGAAUCAGGACUCAUCAAAAAUGCAGAGACUCAAUGCCUAACUUUGUGAAGUUAGUUGCAUUACCUCUGCAGGAUUGUGUAUCUGACUUGCUUUAAUGAAAUGUCUGUAUCAUAUUUAACAAAGCUCUCGAUUUCCA
RNAcentral lists this long non-coding RNA (1301 nucleotides) under Anas platyrhynchos platyrhynchos (common mallard). Its description in RNAcentral is "lncRNA (ENSAPLG00000017918.1)". The record is from RNAcentral. Lineage: Eukaryota; Metazoa; Chordata; Aves; Anseriformes; Anatidae.